UUAAGUGAAUAAGGGCGCACGGUGGAUGCCUUGGCACUAGGAGCCGAUGAAGGACGGGACUAACACCGAUAUGCUUUGGGGAGCUGUACGUAAGCUAUGAUCCAGAGAUUUCCGAAUGGGGGAACCCAGCAUCUUUAAUAGGAUGUUACGAUUGUGUGAAUACAUAGCACAUUCGAGGUAGACGCAGAGAACUGAAACAUCUAAGUACCUGCAGGAAGAGAAAGAAAAUUCGAUUCCCUGAGUAGCGGCGAGCGAAACGGGAAAAGCCCAAACCAGCAAGCUUGCUUGUUGGGGUUGUAGGACUCCAAUAUGGUAGUUCUUUCAGAUAGUCGAAUGACUUGGAAAAGUCAGUCAAAGAGGGUAAAAACCCCGUAGACGAAAUGUGGAAGACACCUAGGAGGAUCCUGAGUACGGCGGAACACGAGAAAUUCCGUCGGAAUCCGGGAGGACCAUCUCCCAAGGCUAAAUACUCCCUAGUGACCGAUAGUGAACCAGUACCGUGAGGGAAAGGUGAAAAGCACCCCGGAAGGGGAGUGAAAUAGAACCUGAAACCGUGUGCCUACAACAAGUCAAAGCCCGUUAAUGGGUGAUGGCGUGCCUUUUGUAGAAUGAACCGGCGAGUUACGAUUGCAUGCGAGGUUAAGUUGAAGAGACGGAGCCGCAGCGAAAGCGAGUCUGAAUAGGGCGUUUGAGUAUGUAGUCGUAGACCCGAAACCAUGUGAUCUACCCAUGUCCAGGUUGAAGGUGCGGUAAAACGCACUGGAGGACCGAACCCACGUACGUUGAAAAGUGCGGGGAUGAGGUGUGGGUAGCGGAGAAAUUCCAAACGAACUUGGAGAUAGCUGGUUCUCUCCGAAAUAGCUUUAGGGCUAGCCUCGGAAUUGAGAAUGAUGGAGGUAGAGCACUGUUUGGACUAGGGGCCCAUCUCGGGUUACCGAAUUCAGAUAAACUCCGAAUGCCAUUCAUUCAUAUCCGGGAGUCAGACUGUGAGUGAUAAGAUCCAUAGUCGAAAGGGAAACAGCCCAGACCACCAGCUAAGGUCCCAAAAUAUAUGUUAAGUGGAAAAGGAUGUGGGGUUGCACAGACAACUAGGAUGUUGGCUUAGAAGCAGCCAUCAUUUAAAGAGUGCGUAAUAGCUCACUAGUCGAGUGACCCUGCGCCGAAAAUGUACCGGGGCUAAACAUAUUACCGAAGCUGUGGAGUACACCUUUAGGUGUAUUGGUAGGAGAGCGUUCUAAGGGCGUUGAAGGCAGAUCGUGAGGACUGCUGGAGCGCUUAGAAGUGAGAAUGCCGGUAUGAGUAGCGAAAGACAGGUGAGAAUCCUGUCCACCGAAUGACUAAGGUUUCCUGGGGAAGGCUCGUCCGCCCAGGGUUAGUCGGGACCUAAGCCGAGGCCGACAGGCGUAGGCGAUGGAUAACAGGUUGAUAUUCCUGUACCCGUUGUUUUUGUUUGAGCAAUGGAGGGACGCAGGAGGCUAAGGAAUGCAGACGAUCGGAAAUGUCUGUCCAAGCAGUAAGUCUGAAGAGGAGUCAAAUGCUUCUUUUCUUAAGGACAAGCUGUGAUGGGGAGGGAAAUAAUAGUACCGAAGUUCCUGAUGUCACACUGCCGAGAAAAGCUUCUAGUGAGAAAACAGCGGCCCGUACCGCAAACCGACACAGGUAGUCGAGGAGAGAAUCCUAAGGUGAGCGAGAGAACUCUCGUUAAGGAACUCGGCAAAAUGACCCCGUAACUUCGGGAGAAGGGGUGCUGAUCAUACGAUCAGCCGCAGUGAAUAGGCCCAAGCGACUGUUUAUCAAAAACACAGGUCUCUGCAAAAUCGUAAGAUGAAGUAUAGGGGCUGACGCCUGCCCGGUGCUGGAAGGUUAAGAGGAGUGCUUAGCGCAAGCGAAGGUACGAAUUGAAGCCCCAGUAAACGGCGGCCGUAACUAUAACGGUCCUAAGGUAGCGAAAUUCCUUGUCGGGUAAGUUCCGACCCGCACGAAAGGCGUAACGAUUUGGGCACUGUCUCAACGAGAGACUCGGUGAAAUUUUAGUACCUGUGAAGAUGCAGGUUACCCGCGACAGGACGGAAAGACCCCAUGGAGCUUUACUGUAGUUUGAUAUUGAGUGUCUGUACCGCAUGUACAGGAUAGGUAGGAGCCGUAGAAAUCGGAACGCUAGUUUCGAUGGAGGCGCUGGUGGGAUACUACCCCUGCGUUAUGGCCACUCUAACCCGCACCACUAAUCGUGGUGGGAGACAGUGUCAGAUGGGCAGUUUGACUGGGGCGGUCGCCUCCUAAAAGGUAACGGAGGCGCCCAAAGGUUCCCUCAGAAUGGUUGGAAAUCAUUCGAAGAGUGUAAAGGCAGAAGGGAGCUUGACUGCGAGACCAACAAGUCGAGCAGGGACGAAAGUCGGGCUUAGUGAUCCGGUGGUUCCGCAUGGAAGGGCCAUCGCUCAACGGAUAAAAGCUACCCUGGGGAUAACAGGCUUAUCUCCCCCAAGAGUCCACAUCGACGGGGAGGUUUGGCACCUCGAUGUCGGCUCGUCGCAUCCUGGGGCUGUAGUCGGUCCCAAGGGUUGGGCUGUUCGCCCAUUAAAGCGGCACGCGAGCUGGGUUCAGAACGUCGUGAGACAGUUCGGUCCCUAUCCGUCGCGGGCGUUGGAAAUUUGAGAGGAGCUGUCCUUAGUACGAGAGGACCGGGAUGGACUUACCGCUGGUGUACCAGUUGUUCUGCCAAGGGCAUUGCUGGGUAGCUAUGUAGGGAAGGGAUAAACGCUGAAAGCAUCUAAGUGUGAAGCCCACCUCAAGAUGAGAUUUCCCAUUUCUUUAAGAAAGUAAGAUCCCUGAGAGAUGAUCAGGUAGAUAGGUCAGGAGUGGAAGUACAGUGAUGUAUGGAGCGGACUGAUACUAAUCGAUCGAGGACUUAACCAA
RNAcentral lists this ribosomal RNA (2913 nucleotides) under Enterococcus faecium. RNAcentral describes it as "bacterial LSU rRNA". It matches the Rfam family "Bacterial large subunit ribosomal RNA". Lineage: Bacteria; Bacillati; Bacillota; Bacilli; Lactobacillales; Enterococcaceae. RNAcentral also lists the same sequence under 9 other names. The record is from RNAcentral.